GUAAGACAUAAGAAGCUCUUCAACACACCGAGUGACUCACCACAGGAAUAAACUAAAAUACAGACUGAUCCAAGUUGAAAAUAAGCCAUUUUAUUCAAAAGCAUGUCACUGCCCUGAUGACAUGGUCAUGCGCUGAUGUCAACUGCUCAGUCAUUUCAAACCCACCGAGAUCUGGAGGGGAGAUAAAUUAGUGUGGGGAGGGAAUUUUAAGGAAGAAGUUGAGUGUCCUAAGAAUGUCCUUUCAUGGGAGGUGAGACCACACUGUGAGAGCCGAAGGGAGCUGGAAUCCUCUCAUGUCAAACACAUCACUGUACCCAGGUUUGCAAAGUGGCUCAGCAGGUGCUGGGGCAGCAAUCGUAGCUGCCUGUCACCCCAUUCCCUUUUCCAUGGGAACCCCUGUUCUGAACCAAGAAAACUGCCAUCCUCGAGUACUGGGAGAGAGGAGACAGAAGAGUGGGCAGAGAGGGCCAGGCCUUUUCUCCACCCUCCCCUCUAAAAUUCUGCAGUGAUCUCUCAGUUAGCCCUAGUGAUCUAUUUCACUGAAUGAUUUAUUUCCUCACAACAACCUGUAUGCCUUUGUGUUCUCCACCAGGAACCAAUUUGCUGAGAGGAUGAGACCGAGUGUCACAGGCUGAUCAAACAGGUCAACUUUGACUCGAGAGAAAAUAAGUUCUAUCGGCACUGCCUCCCCCAGCAGACUGUACACAAUCACAUGCUGCAGAACGAUGUUUUGGACAAUGAUGAACCGGAUACACGACAGUGGUCUCCUAAGAUGAUCAUGGAGCUGAAAACUUCAUCGAGAGCUGUCAUAACACCACAGUGCAAUUACUCUAUUUUUAAAAUAAAUGUACUGCAGCCUCAGUGUGCCAUGUUGAUAAAGUCUGCAGUCAUGUACAGCAAUGUCCUAGGCCUUCACAUUCACUCAGCGCUCACUCACUGACUCACCCAGAGCAGCUUCCAGUCCUGCAAGCUCCGUUCAUGACAUAGGAAGGUGACAGUACCGGGAACCUCAUCGAAAACAGGUGUUAAGUACAUGCUUGACACCAAGAAUAACAAAAGCAAAGAUGCAAGAGCUCUUUCCUAUGGGUUUUUCCUGAUCAGACUCUGCUAUUUGAAAGGGAUCUGGAAAGAAGUGAGCCAAGCUCACCUUUGUGAAGACU
This 1160-nucleotide long non-coding RNA is filed under the name Homo sapiens (human). RNAcentral's name for it is "HSALNT0388378". Lineage: Eukaryota; Metazoa; Chordata; Mammalia; Primates; Hominidae. The record is from RNAcentral.